CCUACGGGUGGCUGCAGUGAGGAAUUUUGGUCAAUGGGAGGAAUCCUGAACCAGCCAUGCCGCGUGCAGGACGACGGCUCUACGAGUUGUAAACUGCUUUUGUACCGGGGUAAAAUGCCUUACGUGUAGUGUUUUGCAAGUACGGUACGAAUCAGGAUCGGCUAACUCCGUGCCAUGAGCAGCGUUAAUACGGAGGAUCCGAGCGUUAUCCGGAUUCAUUGGGUUUAAAGGGUGCUGAGGUUGUUUUAUAAGUUAGCGGUGAAAUACCGAUGCUCAACAAAGGGGCUGCCGCUAAUACUGUAGGACGAGAGAUCGGAUGCAGCAGGCGGAAUGGGUAGUGUAGCGGUGAAAUGCAUAGAUAUUACACAGAACACCGAUUGCGAAGGCAGCUUGCUAGGCCGGAUCUGACACUGAUGCACGAAAGCGUGGGGAUCGAACAGGAUUAGAUACCCUUGUAGUC
This 460-nucleotide ribosomal RNA is filed under the name uncultured bacterium. RNAcentral's name for it is "partial 16S ribosomal RNA". It matches the Rfam family "Bacterial small subunit ribosomal RNA", at positions 338 to 795 of the family's 1533-position model. The record is from RNAcentral.